AAUUCCCAGAGGCAAUAGUUUUCAUUUUGACCAGUAUGGUAUGAUACAAUAUAAUGAAUUUUAAGUGGUUAGAUAUCUCCAGUGGGAAGGAUUGGAUUGCUAUAUCCCAUAAGGAUGCAAGUGAGCAGAAUUGAUAUUGUUGUGAUUUGAAAAAACGAGUCGUGGGGUAGGGUGUCAAGUAUGUGCAUGAUAUGAUGAAAAAUUGAUGGCAAAA
RNAcentral lists this unclassified non-coding RNA (214 nucleotides) under Hevea brasiliensis (rubber tree). Lineage: Eukaryota; Viridiplantae; Streptophyta; Magnoliopsida; Malpighiales; Euphorbiaceae. The record is from RNAcentral.